AUUGAACGCUGGCGGCAUGCCUUACACAUGCAAGUCGAACGGUAGAGUAGCAAUACUCGAGAGUGGCGAACGGGUGAGUAAUAUAUCGGAACGUGCCCAAUCGUGGGGGAUAACGUAGAGAAAUUUACGCUAAUACCGCAUACGAUCCAAGGAUGAAAGCGGGGGAUCGCAAGACCUCGCGCGAUUGGAGCGGCUGAUAU
Molecule: ribosomal RNA, 200 nt
Filed under: uncultured bacterium
Lineage: Bacteria
Description: partial 16S ribosomal RNA
Rfam family: Bacterial small subunit ribosomal RNA
Source: RNAcentral